AUGCACCGCCUCUCAUCUACUUCGCGACUUCCCAUCUCCUUCAUGGCAUCUUCCCCGCCUCGCUGGUGGCCUUCAGCGCUUGCCCGACGAGUUAUCCCACUCUUGGCGGCUCCAAAUCCACCUGCCCGUCGUCUUUCCCGAUUUCCUCAUGGAUCUCAGAACCUGGCCACCGUCAGUCGAGUACAAGGCGAUGAGUCUGGUAAACCAUAUAGACGGCUGCCCAUCUCGAUCGCUCAAAUCAUGAAAAGAAUGAAAAAUACUGGGACGAGGGGCACUGUCUCGGAGGUUAUAGAUGAAGACGAGGGGAAAAGUGAUAAAGAUGCUUUUAGGACAACCUCAGAGGUUAUGGAUGACAAAAGUGAUACAUGGGGCCAAAAUGUGAACUUACCUGGUUUUGAGGAAGACCGAAGUAGCGCAGCCAAGAAUCACAUUACUAGAAUCGCUGUCAGUGAGGAUGAAGGACUCAGUGAUGACGAAGGAUUUAGUGUGAACGGUAUACUUGCAAAAAGCAGACACCGUGACGGUUCUAUAUACAGGGGUAUUGAUUUAUUUCAUUGGAAAGAAGAGUAUCGUAUUGCAGACCGUAAUGAGACUCGGUUGGAGGCAAUGACACUAUCAGAUCCUGCUGCAAAUUGCAAAGUUCACAAUGGAAUUUGUACUAGACAUAUUGCUCGUAGCAUGCUGCAAAUCUACUCAUUAGAGUUGGCUAAAAUUCCUGUGGAUGGCUUCGUAGAGUUGUAUGGAUAUGUAGCAGUUCGGGAUGACCUGGAUCCAUUGCUUAAUUAUGUUGUCAAUAUUAGCAGGGAUGACCCCGUCAUCGUGGAGCAGGGUUCUCUCAUCAACAUGAUUGGCCCCAAGCGAGGGAUAGAUAUGGCAGAUCAUGCUCUACUUGAAUAUGACAUGAAGAUCAAGUCAGGCGAACAAGAAAAAGAUGACCUACAGCUGAUUGAUGGUGCAUCAUUCAUAGGCCCCUUGGGCUCAUGGGAUCAGCCAUGCACGUUUCACAUUGCUGGCGAUUGUGGCUCAGUUGACAUAACUUUGUCACGUCUUUUACACGCAGUUGAGGCGACCGUAGAGGUUCUCAUAUUGGAAGUGAAAAACAGUUUCAGUUUGUCCGUCAGAUGUUUAGCCAGUGGGUUUAAUGAAGAAAUCCGGCUCUUUGAUGGAACCAUCGCUGAUUCACAAGGCCUAAAGAGGUCGGUGGUUGCUGUAAUGGACAAUUCUUUUAUAGAUUUGAAGUUCAAGGUAGGCGCACUGUCAUCCAGUUCCGACCAACAUUGCUGUUCCUUCAAGGUGAAAAUGCAUGGGCAUGAUAUUGAAGAAAUAAAGACUGAUUUUGCAUUAAUCUUAGUGAAGGUGAUUUGGUCGACCUUGCCUAGGGGCUUUUCCGGUUAA
Molecule: ribosomal RNA, 1395 nt
Filed under: Triticum aestivum (bread wheat)
Lineage: Eukaryota; Viridiplantae; Streptophyta; Magnoliopsida; Poales; Poaceae
Description: partial small subunit ribosomal RNA
Source: RNAcentral